GGCGACCGGCGCACGGGUGAGUAACACGUAUCCAACCUGCCGAUGACUCGGGGAUAGCCUUUCGAAAGAAAGAUUAAUACCCGAUGGCAUAGUUCUUCCGCAUGGUAGAACUAUUAAAGAAUUUCGGUCAUCGAUGGGGAUGCGUUCCAUUAGGUUGUUGGCGGGGUAACGGCCCACCAAGCCUUCGAUGGAUAGGGGUUCUGAGAGGAAGGUCCCCCACAUUGGAACUGAGACACGGUCCAAACUCCUACGGGAGGCAGCAGUGAGGAAUAUUGGUCAAUGGACGAGAGUCUGAACCAGCCAAGUAGCGUGAAGGAUGACUGCCCUAUGGGUUGUAAACUUCUUUUAUACGGGAAUAAAGUGAGGCACGUGUGCCUUUUUGUAUGUACCGUAUGAAUAAGGAUCGGCUAACUCUGUGCCAGCAGCCGCGGUAAUACGGAGGAUCCGAGCGUUAUCCGGAUUUAUUGGGUUUAAAGGGAGCGUAGGCGGACGCUUAAGUCAGUUGUGAAAGUUUGCGGCUCAACCGUAAAAUUGCAGUUGAUACUGGGUGUCUUGAGUACAGUAGAGGCAGGCGGAAUUCGUGGUGUAGCGGUGAAAUGCUUAGAUAUCACGAAGAACUCCGAUUGCGAAGGCAGCCUGCUGGACUGUAACUGACGCUGAUGCUCGAAAGUGUGGGUAUCAAACAGGAUUAGAUACCCUGGUAGUCCACACAGUAAACGAUGAAUACUCGCUGUUUGC
This 738-nucleotide ribosomal RNA is filed under the name uncultured bacterium. Its description in RNAcentral is "bacterial SSU rRNA". It matches the Rfam family "Bacterial small subunit ribosomal RNA", at positions 90 to 827 of the family's 1533-position model. The record is from RNAcentral.